GUGUUCACUCUGGCAGCACAUAUACUGAAACUGGAAUGAUACAGAGAUCAGCACGGCCCCUGCAUGAGGAUGAAACACAAAUUUGUGAAGCGUUCCAUAUUUCU
This 104-nucleotide small nuclear RNA is filed under the name Catagonus wagneri (Chacoan peccary). Lineage: Eukaryota; Metazoa; Chordata; Mammalia; Artiodactyla; Tayassuidae. The record is from RNAcentral.